RNAcentral lists this ribosomal RNA (1280 nucleotides) under metagenome. RNAcentral's name for it is "bacterial SSU rRNA". It matches the Rfam family "Bacterial small subunit ribosomal RNA", at positions 225 to 1498 of the family's 1533-position model. The record is from RNAcentral.
AUGGGCCUGCGGCGUAUUAACUUGUUGGUGGGGUAACGUCCUACCAAGGUGAUGAUACGUAGCCGAACUGAGAGGUUGAUCGGCCACAUUGGGACUGAGACACGGCCCAAACUCCUACGGGAGGCAGCAGUAGGGAAUCUUCCACAAUGGACGAAAGUCUGAUGGAGCAACGCCGCGUGAAUGAAGAAGGCCUUCGGGUCGUAAAAUUCUGUUGUCAGAGAAGAAUGUGCGUGAGAGUAACUGUUCACGUAUUGACGGUAUCUGACCAGAAAGCCACGGCUAACUACGUGCCAGCAGCCGCGGUAAUACGUAGGUGGCAAGCGUUGUCCGGAUUUAUUGGGCGUAAAGGGAACGCAGGCGGUCUUUUAAGUCUGAUGUGAAAGCCUUCGGCUUAACCGAAGUAGUGCAUUGGAAACUGGAAGACUUGAGUGCAGAAGAGGAGAGUGGAACUCCAUGUGUAGCGGUGAAAUGCGUAGAUAUAUGGAAGAACACCAGUGGCGAAAGCGGCUCUCUGGUCUGUAACUGACGCUGAGGUUCGAAAGCGUGGGUAGCAAACAGGAUUAGAUACCCUGGUAGUCCACGCCGUAAACGAUGAGUGCUAAGUGUUGGAGGGUUUCCGCCCUUCAGUGCUGCAGCUAACGCAUUAAGCACUCCGCCUGGGGAGUACGGUCGCAAGACUGAAACUCAAAGGAAUUGACGGGGGCCCGCACAAGCGGUGGAGCAUGUGGUUUAAUUCGAAGCAACGCGAAGAACCUUACCAGGUCUUGACAUCUUCUGACAAUUCCAGAGAUGGAACGUUCCCUUCGGGGACAGAAUGACAGGUGGUGCAUGGUUGUCGUCAGCUCGUGUCGUGAGAUGUUGGGUUAAGUCCCGCAACGAGCGCAACCCUUAUUGUCAGUUGCCAUCAUUAAGUUGGGCACUCUGGCGAGACUGCCGGUGACAAACCGGAGGAAGGUGGGGAUGACGUCUAAUCAUCAUGCCCCUUAUGACCUGGGCUACACACGUGCUACAAUGGACGGUACAACGAGUCGCUAACUCGCGAGGGCAAGCUAAUCUCUUAAAGCCGUUCUCAGUUCGGAUUGCAGGCUGCAACUCGCCUGCAUGAAGUCGGAAUCGCUAGUAAUCGCGAAUCAGCAUGUCGCGGUGAAUACGUUCCCGGGCCUUGUACACACCGCCCGUCACACCAUGAGAGUUUGUAACACCCAAAGUCGGUGGGGUAACCUUUUGGAGCCAGCCGCCUAAGGUGGGACAGAUGAUUGGGGUGAAGUCGUAACAAGGUA